CUGCCUGUAGUCUAGUGGUUAAGGUACAUGACUGGGACCCCUGAGGUUGGUGGCUCAAACCCCAGUCCAGCCACA
Molecule: transfer RNA, 75 nt
Filed under: Albula goreensis
Lineage: Eukaryota; Metazoa; Chordata; Actinopteri; Albuliformes; Albulidae
Description: tRNA-OTHER
Source: RNAcentral